This 492-nucleotide ribosomal RNA is filed under the name uncultured bacterium. RNAcentral describes it as "partial 16S ribosomal RNA". It matches the Rfam family "Bacterial small subunit ribosomal RNA", at positions 29 to 507 of the family's 1533-position model. The record is from RNAcentral.
AGUGAACGCUGGCGGUAGGCCUAACACAUGCAAGUCGAACGGCAGCACAGUAAGAGCUUGCUCUUACGGGUGGCGAGUGGCGGACGGGUGAGGAAUACAUCGGAAUCUACUUUUUCGUGGGGGAUAACGUAGGGAAACUUACGCUAAUACCGCAUACGACCUACGGGUGAAAGCAGGGGAUCUUCGGACCUUGCGCGAUUGAAUGAGCCGAUGACGGAUUAGCUAGUUGGCGGGGUAAAGGCCCACCAAGGCGACGAUCCGUAGCUGGUCUGAGAGGAUGAUCAGCCACACUGGAACUGAGACACGGUCCAGACUCCUACGGGAGGCAGCAGUGGGGAAUAUUGGACAAUGGGCGCAAGCCUGAUCCAGCCAUACCGCGUGGGUGAAGAAGGCCUUCGGGUUGUAAAGCCCUUUUGUUGGGAAAGAAAAGCAGCAGGUUAAUACCCCGCUGCUCUGACGGUACCCAAAGAAUAAGCACCGGCUAACUUCGUG